This 907-nucleotide ribosomal RNA is filed under the name Micraspis acicola. RNAcentral's name for it is "partial large subunit ribosomal RNA". It matches the Rfam family "Eukaryotic large subunit ribosomal RNA", at positions 38 to 962 of the family's 3401-position model. The record is from RNAcentral. Lineage: Eukaryota; Fungi; Ascomycota; Leotiomycetes; Micraspidales; Micraspidaceae.
GCAUAUCAAUAAGCGGAGGAAAAGAAACCAACAGGGAUUGCCUCAGUAACGGCGAGUGAAGCGGCAACAGCUCAAAUUUGAAAUCUGGCUCUUUCAGGGUCCGAGUUGUAAUUUGUAGAAGAUGCUUCGGGCGUGGCUCCGGUCUAAGUUCCUUGGAACAGGACGUCAUAGAGGGUGAGAAUCCCGUAUGUGACUGGGUGCCUAUGCUCAUGUGAAGCUCUUUCGACGAGUCGAGUUGUUUGGGAAUGCAGCUCUAAAUGGGUGGUAAAUUUCAUCUAAAGCUAAAUACUGGCCAGAGACCGAUAGCGCACAAGUAGAGUGAUCGAAAGAUGAAAAGCACUUUGGAAAGAGAGUUAAACAGUACGUGAAAUUGUUGAAAGGGAAGCGCUUGCAACCAGACUUGCAUGCAGCUGAUCAUCCGGUGUUCUCACCGGUGCACUCAGCUGUGUUCAGGCCAGCAUCGGUUUCGGUGGUUGGAUAAAGGCCUUGGGAAUGUAGCUUCCUUCGGGGAGUGUUAUAGCCCGCGGUGCAAUGCAGCCUACUGGGACCGAGGACCGCGCUUCGGCUAGGAUGCUGGCGUAAUGGUUGUAAGCGACCCGUCUUGAAACACGGACCAAGGAGUCUAACAUCUAUGCGAGUGUUUGGGUGUCAAACCCAUACGCGUAAUGAAAGUGAACGGAGGUGAGAACUCUUAAGAGUGCAUCAUCGACCGAUCCUGAUGUCUUCGGAUGGAUUUGAGUAAGAGCAUAGCUGUUGGGACCCGAAAGAUGGUGAACUAUACUUGAAUAGGGUGAAGCCAGAGGAAACUCUGGUGGAGGCUCGCAGCGGUUCUGACGUGCAAAUCGAUCGUCAAAUUUGGGUAUAGGGGCGAAAGACUAAUCGAACCAUCUAGUAGCUGGUUCCUGCC